Long non-coding RNA from Brassica napus (rape), 2244 nucleotides. RefSeq lists it as uncharacterized. The record is from RefSeq and is a predicted model, not a curated record. The transcript has 4 exons. Lineage: Eukaryota; Viridiplantae; Streptophyta; Magnoliopsida; Brassicales; Brassicaceae.
UUUAUGUCUUUGAUUCUGUUCUCAUUUGUUUGUCUACAAUGCCAUGAAAGAUAUUAGUUACUGUUUAUAGGUCUCUCCUUCUUCGUCUUAUACUAUAUAGGGAAUCUGAUUGCAUAUGAACCGAUGAUAAAUAAUAAUAAUCUUAAAAGGCUAUAAACAAUGUUCUCUCAUCCAUUCCACUUUCUAUACAAGAUCUUGACUUGCAGAUUUGGUUCAUAUUCACACUAACUGACAUUCUGUCUGCUGAUGCAGUUUUCAAGCUAAUCAAUAUAUUCCUCUUCCAAGCCACUCUCUUGUGUGAUGAAUGACAACGUAGUGGAGUUGUUCUACCAUCUCCUACUACUGUGGUCAUUUCACUGAUAUUUUAUUCUUGAGUUUCUUAAUUCAAGGGACUUGUCAGCCAUUUGGGACUUAUAUAUGUCCAACACAUAUAACAAUCCCACUUUCUGCACCAUAAAUGAUACAUAAUAAGUCAUAUUCAAACCCACAUUGGCAAUGAGAGAAAGUCUCUGUUACCAUGUUUCACUUUCAAGCCAUGUGGAGUUUGCUAGGGAAGGAAGGUCGCUUCAGUUCAAUACAGGUAUCUCAUCAUGUUGGGUAGCUGAAAGAGUUUUGUUGUUGUGGAGUCCUGCUUGUUUAUAACUGUGUUUUGAUUCACAUGUUUCCUGGUUCAUGUCCAAAAAGGGUUCUGCAGAUUUCCUGUUGUUGGAAUAACUAGAUAGUUGAAAUAGCAAUGAUCUUGUUCAUGCUGAUUCACCUAAUUUAGUUUAUCUGAAGAUUAAGUCAAAGAUAUUCUCAAAGAUCUAUCUGCCACAAUAUUAUAUAGGUGAAAUCGUCAAACUUUUAGACUUUUAUGCAGAGUUUAAUUAUUGUUAUUACUUUUCACUAUUAUCUUAAGUUUUGGGGGUGGGCAUCUGUAAUCUGUGUGCUGUUCACAUCCAUCAGUCUGAGUCUACAGUUUAUCUUUCUGUGUUGUUAAAUAGUUUUGGGAGAGCUCUUGUGUGUUUUUUGUUUUUCUGAAAAAGAUAGGGAAAAUUUUGAAGAUUUAAGGGAUAAGUCAGUGUUUCCUCAAUGUUAAGUGCUAUCAAUUUAGAAUAAGUACAAAAGGCUUAGGACAAAUAGCAGAUCUAAAGGCGUUUGUCUAUGGAUAGCUUUUAUGUUCUUUAUUGGAACUCCUUUUAAAGACCUGACGUACCAACCCCAACCAUGUGUUUUAGAGUUAUGCACAGCUUUUUAUGAUGCUUUUGUUAUGACUAUUCUAUUGUGGAUCCUAUUCUUACGUAUAUAUUCAUGCAGAGAUCUUCGUACUUUUCGGGUCAGGCCAUGUGACUUACUUUUCAUGCAAAAAGCUUCCCCAGUCUUUUGUCUUUAAACUCUUAUACUUUCGUGAAAAGAUCCAACACUUUAGCCAGUUUGUUUUAGCUACCACCUUCUUAAAAGCAACAAUGUUGUUUUGACAGCCUUUCAAAUUUUCUUGUCUUCUGUUUGAUGCUUGAUGGUGAGGCAGAACGAUAAACUCAAAGAACAUGGCGAGUGGCAUGGAAAUUUCUUAGCUAGUGGCCUCUAAGCUCAUGGGCUAUGUAUAUGGGGAUUUCAGUUUGGGCUUUGCUAUAUUGGGUUUAACAAAACUGAGGUAUAAUCAGAGAAAGCAAAUGAUAUUAAUACCUCAAAGGAGGUGGAGACACAAAAACUUGUGAACAAAAAUGGAAAAAGAGAUGUAAUCCUUCUUGAAAUUCCUGUCACAACUUUCGUAACUUGUUGGAAUUUCUUUCAAGAACCUCAAUGAUGCUAAUCAUAUCCGAAAACGCGCAUUCUGGUUUCCUCUGACUUGUGUAAGUACCAAGAUUUAAGUAUUAAAACUACAGAUAAGCCCUACGCACCUUAUUAAAGGUAUAUUCACGUUUAUGUAAAAUAGGUAAUUAAAGGGUUAACUAUGUUCAUUGGUGGCAUAGAAAGUCCGAGAAUUUAGACGCGUUGGUUAGAAACUUAGGAGAAGAAGCAAUUCAGUUGUUUAGCUGACAUUUACAACCAAGUUGUUUUUUUUUUUUAAUAAGAGGAAGAGAACGGUUUAAGUGACAUCACAUAUUUCAUAAUUAAUACUUUUGUAAGAACCUAGUGUCUUCCUUAAUUUUUUAGUAUUUUGUGUACCUGCUUCCUCUAUUCGAGACUGUGGUCCACUCUGUGAGGAACCCUAAUGCAACAAGCAAUUCAAAUCCCUCUUUCCCUAAAUUUAAUUAAUACUUU